RNAcentral lists this ribosomal RNA (229 nucleotides) under uncultured bacterium. RNAcentral's name for it is "partial 16S ribosomal RNA". It matches the Rfam family "Bacterial small subunit ribosomal RNA", at positions 568 to 796 of the family's 1533-position model. The record is from RNAcentral.
CGUGUAGGCGGCUUGGUAAGUCGGGUGUGAAAGCCCGGGGCUCAACCCCGGAACUGCACUCGAUACUGCCUCGCUAGAGUCCCGGAGAGGAGAGCGGAAUUCCCGGUGUAGAGGUGAAAUUCGUAGAUAUCGGGAGGAACACCAGCGGCGAAGGCGGCUCUCUGGACGGUGACUGACGCUGAGACGCGAAAGCGUGGGGAGCAAACAGGAUUAGAUACCCUGGUAGUCC